AGUGAACGCUGGCGGUAGGCCUAACACAUGCAAGUCGAACGGCAGCACAGUAAGAGCUUGCUCUUACGGGUGGCGAGUGGCGGACGGGUGAGGAAUACAUCGGAAUCUACUUUUUCGUGGGGGAUAACGUAGGGAAACUUACGCUAAUACCGCAUACGACCUACGGGUGAAAGUAGGGGAUCUUCGGACCUUGCGCGAUUGAAUGAGCCGAUGUCGGAUUAGCUAGUUGGCGGGGUAAAGGCCCACCAAGGCGACGAUCCGUAGCUGGUCUGAGAGGAUGAUCAGCCACACUGGAACUGAGACACGGUCCAGACUCCUACGGGGGGCAGCAGUGGGGAAUAUUGGACAAUGGGCGCAAGCCUGAUCCAGCCAUACCGCGUGGGUGAAGAAGGCCUUCGGGUUGUAAAGCCCUUUUGUUGGGAAAGAAAAGCAGCAGGUUAAUACCCCGCUGUUCUGACGGUACCCAAAGAAUAAGCACCGGCUAACUUCGUG
This 492-nucleotide ribosomal RNA is filed under the name uncultured bacterium. RNAcentral's name for it is "partial 16S ribosomal RNA". It matches the Rfam family "Bacterial small subunit ribosomal RNA", at positions 29 to 507 of the family's 1533-position model. The record is from RNAcentral.